This 497-nucleotide ribosomal RNA is filed under the name uncultured bacterium. RNAcentral describes it as "partial 16S ribosomal RNA". It matches the Rfam family "Bacterial small subunit ribosomal RNA", at positions 28 to 507 of the family's 1533-position model. The record is from RNAcentral.
GAUGAACGCUGGCGGCGUGCCUAAUACAUGCAAGUCGAGCGAACGGACGAGAAGCUUGCUUCUCUGAUGUUAGCGGCGGACGGGCGAGUAACACGUGGAUAACCUACCUCUAAGACUUGGAUAACUUCGUGAAACCGGAGCUAAUACCGGCUAAUAUUUUGAACCGCAUGGUUCAAAAGUGAAAGACGGUCUUGCUGUCACUUAUAGAUGGAUCCGCGCUGCAUUAGCUAGUUGGUAAGGUAACGGCUUACCAAGGCAACGAUGCGUAGCCGACCUGAGAGGGUGAUCAGCCACACUGGAACUGAGACACGGUCCAGACUCCUACGGGAGGCAGCAGUAGGGAAUCUUCCGCAAUGGGCGAAAGCCUGACGGAGCAACACCGCGUGAGUGAUGAAGGUCUUCGGAUCGUAAAGCUCUGUUAUUAGGAAAGAACAGAUGUGUAAGUAACUGUGGACAUCUUGACGGUACCUAAUCAGAAAGCCACGGCUAACUACGUG